CAAGAGAUGAAAACCAGUCAGCCUCUGUAAGAUUCUUACCAUAUAUUUUCUUUGCAUUGAUUUUGUAGUUUUUAUAUAUUGUUUGUAUGUUGUGUUAGGAUCCUGCUUUGCUCUGCACAUAAUGUUUGCUAACAAAAUGCUUUGAAUUCUAGAGAGUGGAUCCUUAUUCUGUAAAGAACAAAGGUCCUUGCCAAGAGCAAAUGAGAGACGAUUUUGCAGCAAGAGCAUAUGAGAGGUCAGGUAAAGUAAAGUUUCCUCUAUUCUCAUGUGUAUAUACUCAAUUCUCAUGUAUUCUUCCCUACAUGUUAUUUGCAUUUGAUGAGCCUUGGUGGCUUGGCUUGUUUU
Long non-coding RNA from Arabidopsis thaliana (thale cress), 345 nucleotides. RefSeq annotates it as other RNA. The record is from RefSeq. The transcript has a single exon. NCBI's taxonomy places the organism in Eukaryota, Viridiplantae, Streptophyta, Magnoliopsida, Brassicales, Brassicaceae.